Molecule: long non-coding RNA, 204 nt
Filed under: Elaeis guineensis (African oil palm)
Lineage: Eukaryota; Viridiplantae; Streptophyta; Magnoliopsida; Arecales; Arecaceae
Description: long non-coding RNA (EGUI_LNC075301)
Source: RNAcentral
CUCAAGACAGGCUUUAAUCUUCGACUAGCUAAGUGACUUGUUAGUGGGUUAACCACAUCUCAUGUGAAGUUUGCUCUCUACACCUCUAUAUAUUUCUACUUGAGGUAGUCGCGUAUUCUGUUGCUCUAUAUGCUUGGAUAUCUGGUGAGAUCUAGGCUCCUUAGCAAAGACUAUGGUGCCAUUGUCUUUACAGUAUAGUGUCAU